This 399-nucleotide ribosomal RNA is filed under the name Triticum aestivum (bread wheat). RNAcentral's name for it is "partial small subunit ribosomal RNA". The record is from RNAcentral. Lineage: Eukaryota; Viridiplantae; Streptophyta; Magnoliopsida; Poales; Poaceae.
GCGGGUCGUUGACUACGAGGGCGGCGACGUCGGCGGCGGAGAGGCCGAGGCCGGCGAGGAAGGCGAGGACGGCGUCGGGCUUGGAAGGGGACUUGAGGUGGGAGAGCUUGGCCGAGGCCUUGAGGGCCUGGGGUCGGGUGAGGCCGCAGGUGGAGACGAGGUAGUCCUCCACCGCGAAGCUAGGGUUCGGGGAGACGGCGGGCGCGGCGGCGGAGAUGAGGCGGCUGAGGUGGGAGAUGGGAGAGGCGGGGGAAGACGAGAGGAUCUGGGAGAGGAGGCUGCGACGGAGCCGGAGCAUGGCGCCGCGGCGGCGCGGUGGCGCCGGCGGCGAGGGAAUGGGGAACGACGGCCGGGGGCGAAUGCGAGAGCCAGAGGAUUUGCGUGGUCUCUUCUUUUUUC